AAACUCCUACGGGGGCAGCAGUGGGGAAUAUUGGGCAAUGGGCGCAAGCCUGACCCAGCAACGCCGCGUGAAGGAAGAAGGCUUUCGGGUUGUAAACUUCUUUUCUCAGGGACGAAGAAAAUGACGGUACCCAAGGAAGAAGCCCCGGCUAACUACGUGCCAGCAGCCGCGGUAAUACGUAGGGGGCAAGCGUUAUCCGGAUUUACUGGGUGUAAAGGGAGCGUAGACGGCUGAGCAAGUCUGAAGUGAAAGGCGAGGGCCCAACCCCCGGACUGCUUUGGAAACUGUAUAGCUAGAGUGCAGGG
This 305-nucleotide ribosomal RNA is filed under the name uncultured bacterium. RNAcentral describes it as "bacterial SSU rRNA". It matches the Rfam family "Bacterial small subunit ribosomal RNA", at positions 333 to 653 of the family's 1533-position model. The record is from RNAcentral.